CCGCCUUCCUGGUGCCCCGCGCGGCGAGAGGGAGAGUGCCACUUCCUGUCACAGAGAAGCAGUGUGGUGUGGGUGAAAGUACAGCCACCCGGGAGCCAGGAGAUGUGCCACCAGCCAGCUCUGCCACCCGCUGAGUCACGUUGAGUGGUCAUUUCACACUCUGGUUCUCAGAAUUCCUGGUGGAAUAGAGGCUAGCUCACUCACCUCUGUUGACGGUGGGAUAAAGGACACAGUCUUCAUUCCAUGAGGCCACAAACAUUUGUUGAAAAUCUGGGCCAGGAUUCGAAAGAUAAUUCGUGCCUUGCCCACAAUAUUGCUGGGAGAAAGACAUCCAGAUGAGCAACGUGAUAAGUGGUUCAACAGUAACCUUAACAGGAUUCCUGGAGGAGGGAGGAGUUAGUUCUCAAGGCAAGUUCAUCUGGGUUGUUCAGAGAGGGAAGGUUUCAUAUCGGAUGAUGUUGGUGCGAAACCUCGGAAGGCAACUAGGAUGUCAACUGACAAGGAUGGGCAAGAGUUCACACCAAGCAGAGGCUGCGUGGCCACAGUGUGGAGCCCUGGAAACUCCUGGCACAUUGGGGUCAUGAGUGGUUUGUGUCAUGGGGGCUUGGGAAGUGUGUACAGUGCAGCGACAGGUGAUGACACAAGAAAGGUGGACCAGGCCCAGGAGCCACAGGGCCCUGAGUGCCAGGCCAAGGAGCAUAGGCUCCCCACCAGGCAGUAGUGUCCCAGCUGCAUCCUGAAGCUCCAGGAUUCUUGUAGCUGUUGUGGGCCCCAAAGGGGGUGGGGCUGGAGGACCUUAGGGGGGCUCUAAGACCUCUGUCCUUGCUUUACCCAGAGCAGUCAGAUUUUAUCUCUUUUAUGUCCUGGGGCUCCUGGUAACAUCCCAAUGGAAAAAUUGGAGCUUCUUCUGCUUAUAAAAAAGGGUUGAAAUCCACUAUGUAGACAGCAGUAAGGAGUCAAUAAAAGUCUUGAAGCCAAAAAAGUGAACUGAUUGGGUCUAUAUUUUAGAAGGCUCCCCCUGGCAGCAGAGUGGAAGAUGAAUCAGGCAAUAAAGGACGGAAACUGGAGACGGCACCAGUCAGGAGCUCAGUUCAGUCAUCCAGCCGGCAAGAAGGAAAUGUAAACCUGGACAAUGGCAAGGGCACAGGAAGGGAUGGGUUCAAGGGACAGUUCAGAGAUCGAGGGACCAUGACCUGAAGGUGGAUUCGAUCUGGAGAAAGAGGGUUUCUAACCCGGGUGCCUGGGCAGAUGGUGAGUGGCAGUGACGAGGUGUCAGUCUUUGGUGAUCUGGAAAACAGUGAUCUUGGAGAUCAGGUGCAAGAAGCUGUAACAACAAGUGAACCCCACACUGAACAGCAAACAGAAUGUCUGGAAGAAACUGACAAAACUGGGAAGAGGAACGUUUCCUCCGAGGACCUGGUGAGGAGGCUCUGGUCCUUGGAGCAAGGCAGCCGAGCAAGACAAGCCCUUCUCACCUGCACCUUUAUAUGUGAUGCAGAUAUGGAGGAUGCCAAGCUGGGAAGCCUCAGUCAGCUCUUCCACGGGGCAGGUGACAGAGAUGUUUUGCAAAUGCUAAGCGGCUAAGCAUUCCCUUGAUACUAAGAACAAUCAGCCUCCUUUUCCUUUGGCAGAAAAAUCCUCAGUGUAGUUCACUGGAGGCCUCAGAAUCUGGGCCUUCUGCCAAGAGAAGACCUGGGCCUCUUUUCCUCAUUUGUCGGAGACUUGGAAAACACAGCAAAGUGUGCUCUGCCCCACAAUUUGAAUGAAUCUGUGGAACGGCAAUGUGUUCUCGGCCCUUCCUCAGAAUGACUCAGUUGUGGUGAUUUCACAUUCAAUCUCUUAGCAAGGCUCCUAGUUCUUGGAUGGAUCAAAGGGGGGAAAUAAGCAAGAGCUGCUCUGUGUGACACAGCAGACCAUGGCCACACGUGGGUGUGUGCCCUUGAACGUGGGUGGUUCAAAUUGACACGCACCAUGAGUAUAAAAUACAGGGUUUCAAAAACUGACUAUGAAAAAAAUGUAAGCUAUCUCAACACUUUUUUUAUCUUGGUUACUUGUUGAGAUGGUAUUUUGAACACAACGGGCUAAACAAAAUAUAUUAUCAAAAUUCACUUCAUAUGUUGUUUUAACGUGGCUACUAGUAAAUUUAACAUUGCAUACACAUGUAAUGUGCAUCACAGUAUAUUUCUAUCAGACAGCUUGGCUCUGGACAAUUAAGGUUCCCCCAUACUCACGUUGUAAGCGAAAGCUUUCAACAUCGAGGUCAUUUUUAGUUUAUAUAAAUUUAUUGCUUUGAAAUCGCCUUUUCUGAGAAGAUAAUAUUUGGUCAGUUUUUUUUUUCUCAGUGGCCAGAUGAUAGGGUAAAUUAUUAAUUUUCAAAUUUCAGCUUUGCAGGACAAUUUCACAGGAAGUCAGUUUUUUUAUGCCCCACCUCCACUUCUUCCUUUCUACGCAGAAAAACAGAUGCCCCGAAGUGACAGCAUCUGAGAACACAGAACAGGGCCACUCUCGACAUGUGCCUAUGAGAUACAGACUCAUUAAAAAUACCAGACCCACAAAACAGGAAAAAAAGCACUAUGCAGAUACCCAGGGCAGUAAAUGGAAAACCCACGUUAAUGCAGUGCCAAGAAUGAAAAUCGUAGCCUACAAACUUGUUUUUUGAGAAAAAGAAAAUAGUGGGCUAAGAGCCUGGAAAUGAGAAAGUUAAGUUCCCACAGAAGCAAUCAUUUACC
Long non-coding RNA from Equus caballus (horse), 2729 nucleotides. NCBI's taxonomy places the organism in Eukaryota, Metazoa, Chordata, Mammalia, Perissodactyla, Equidae. The record is from Ensembl.